Molecule: transfer RNA, 75 nt
Filed under: Verrucomicrobiota bacterium
Lineage: Bacteria; Pseudomonadati; Verrucomicrobiota
Also listed under: 2 other names
Description: Verrucomicrobia bacterium (anaerobic digester metagenome) tRNA-Cys
Rfam family: tRNA
About the family: Transfer RNA (tRNA) molecules are approximately 80 nucleotides in length. Their secondary structure includes four short double-helical elements and three loops (D, anti-codon, and T loops).
Source: RNAcentral
GGCGGGGUAGCCAAGUGGUAAGGCAGGGGUCUGCAAAACCCUUAUUCGUCGGUUCGAUUCCGACCCUCGCCUCCA